Papilio xuthus (Asian swallowtail) is the source of this 165-nucleotide non-coding RNA. The record is from Rfam. Lineage: Eukaryota; Metazoa; Arthropoda; Insecta; Lepidoptera; Papilionidae.
AUCGCUUCUCGGCCUUUUGGCUAAGAUCAAAGUGUAGUAUCUGUUCUUUUCAGCUUAAUAUCUGAAAGUUCCCGCAUCGCGGGACCAGUAUAUUAAACUGAUUUUUGUAAAACGACGGGAUGUUAGGGGCUCGCUCCACUUCCGUCACGGGUCGGCCCACAUAAA